Molecule: ribosomal RNA, 468 nt
Filed under: uncultured bacterium
Lineage: Bacteria
Description: partial 16S ribosomal RNA
Rfam family: Bacterial small subunit ribosomal RNA
Source: RNAcentral
GACGAACGCUGGCGGCGUGCUUAACACAUGCAAGUCGAACGGAAAGGCCCUGCUUUUGUGGGGUGCUCGAGUGGCGAACGGGUGAGUAACACGUGAGUAACCUGCCCUUGACUUUGGGAUAACUUCAGGAAACUGGGGCUAAUACCGGAUAGGAGCUCCUGCUGCAUGGUGGGGGUUGGAAAGUUUCGGCGGUUGGGGAUGGAUUCGCGGCUUAUCAGCUUGUUGGUGGGGUAGUGGCUUACCAAGGCUUUGACGGGUAGCCGGCCUGAGAGGGUGACCGGCCACAUUGGGGCUGAGAUACGGCCCAGACUCCUACGGGAGGCAGCAGUGGGGAAUAUUGCACAAUGGGCGGAAGCCUGAUGCAGCAACGCCGCGUGCGGGAUGACGGCCUUCGGGUUGUAAACCGCUUUCGCCUGUGACGAAGCGUGAGUGACGGUAAUGGGUAAAGAAGCACCGGCUAACUACGUG